This is a small nucleolar RNA of Gouania willdenowi (blunt-snouted clingfish), 77 nucleotides long. Ensembl annotates it as small nucleolar RNA SNORD49. The record is from Ensembl. NCBI's taxonomy places the organism in Eukaryota, Metazoa, Chordata, Actinopteri, Blenniiformes, Gobiesocidae.
UUCACUGAUGAAAACUGCUAUAUAGGAAGUGCCGUCUGAUGCGACAACUGACGAUGGCAAAAGCUGUUCUUCUGAGA